CCUACGGGCGGCAGCAGUGGGGAAUAUUGCACAAUGGGCGCAAGCCUGAUGCAGCCAUGCCGCGUGUGUGAAGAAGGCCUUCGGGUUGUAAAGCACUUUCAGCGGGGAGGAAGGCGUUAAGGUUAAUAACCUUGGCGAUUGACGUUACCCGCAGAAGAAGCACCGGCUAACUCCGUGCCAGCAGCCGCGGUAAUACGGAGGGUGCAAGCGUUAAUCGGAAUUACUGGGCGUAAAGCGCACGCAGGCGGUCUGUCAAGUCGGAUGUGAAAUCCCCGGGCUCAACCUGGGAACUGCAUUCGAAACUGGCAGGCUAGAGUCUUGUAGAGGGGGGUAGAAUUCCAGGUGUAGCGGUGAAAUGCGUAGAGAGCUGGAGGAAUACCGGUGGCGAAGGCGGCCCCCUGGACAAAGACUGACGCUCAGGUGCGAAAGCGUGGGGAGCAAACAGGAUUAGAUACCCGGGUAGUC
RNAcentral lists this ribosomal RNA (465 nucleotides) under uncultured Klebsiella sp. Its description in RNAcentral is "bacterial SSU rRNA". It matches the Rfam family "Bacterial small subunit ribosomal RNA", at positions 338 to 795 of the family's 1533-position model. Lineage: Bacteria; Pseudomonadati; Pseudomonadota; Gammaproteobacteria; Enterobacterales; Enterobacteriaceae. The record is from RNAcentral.